Molecule: ribosomal RNA, 493 nt
Filed under: uncultured bacterium
Lineage: Bacteria
Description: partial 16S ribosomal RNA
Rfam family: Bacterial small subunit ribosomal RNA
Source: RNAcentral
GACGAACGCUGGCGGCGUGCUUAACACAUGCAAGUCGAACGGUGAAGCGCCUUCCUUUUUGGUGGGUGGGGAGGAGUGGCGAACGGGUGAGUAACACGUGAGUAACCUGCCCCCUUCUUCUGGAUAACCGCAUGAAAGUGUGGCUAAUACGGGAUACUCUGGGUCUGUCGCAUGAUGGGUCUGGGAAAGAUAUUGUGUCGGUGGGGGAUGGGCUCGCGGCCUAUCAGCUGGUUGGUGGGGUGAGGGCCUACCAAGGCGGGGGCGGGUGGCCGGCCUGAGAGGUCGGACGGUCUGGCUCGGACCGACGCACCGCCCGGCCUCCGGCGGGAGGCAGCCGUAGUGUUUAUUGCACGAUGGGCGCAUGCCUGAUGCAGCCCCGCCGCGUGAGGGAUGCUGGCGUUCGGGUUGGCACCCUCUUUCGGCAGGGAAGCAGGCCUGCCUCGUUUGUGGGUGGGUUGACGUUAGCUGGAUAAGAAGCGCCGGCUACCUACGU